RNAcentral lists this ribosomal RNA (253 nucleotides) under uncultured bacterium. RNAcentral's name for it is "partial 16S ribosomal RNA". It matches the Rfam family "Bacterial small subunit ribosomal RNA", at positions 524 to 776 of the family's 1533-position model. The record is from RNAcentral.
UACGUAGGGCGCAAGCGUUGUCCGGAAUUAUUGGGCGUAAAGAGCUCGUAGGCGGUCUGUCGCGUCUGCCGUGAAAACCCGAGGCUUAACCUCGGGCUGGCGGUGGAUACGGGCAGACUAGAGGUAGGUAGGGGAGAAUGGAAUUCCCGGUGUAGCGGUGAAAUGCGCAGAUAUCGGGAGGAACACCGGUGGCGAAGGCGGGUCUCUGGGCCGAUACUGACGCUGAGAAGCGAAAGCGUGGGGAGCGAACAGG